This 381-nucleotide ribosomal RNA is filed under the name uncultured eukaryote. RNAcentral describes it as "SSU rRNA". It matches the Rfam family "Eukaryotic small subunit ribosomal RNA", at positions 587 to 972 of the family's 1831-position model. The record is from RNAcentral.
AGCUCCAAUAGCGUAUAUUAAAGUUGUUGCAGUUAAAAAGCUCGUAGUUGGAUUUUGGACGUGGUGCAGCCCGGUCCGCCGAAAGGCGCGCACUGGGCCGUGCUCGUCUUCCUUCUGAAGACCGUGGGUGCCCUUCACUGGGUGCCCCCGGGGUUCAGGACUUUUACUUUGAGAAAAUUAGAGUGUUUAAGGCAGGCCAACGCUUGAAUACAUUAGCAUGGAAUAAUAAAAUAGGACUUUGGUUCUAUUUUGUUGGUUUCUAGGACCGAAGUAAUGAUUAAUAGGGAUAGUUGGGGGCAUUCGUAUUUAAUUGUCAGAGGUGAAAUUCUUGGAUUUAUGAAAGACGAACUUCUGCGAAAGCAUUUGCCAAGGAUGUUUUCA